RNAcentral lists this ribosomal RNA (398 nucleotides) under uncultured bacterium. RNAcentral describes it as "bacterial SSU rRNA". It matches the Rfam family "Bacterial small subunit ribosomal RNA", at positions 335 to 724 of the family's 1533-position model. The record is from RNAcentral.
ACUCCUACGGGAGGCAGCAGUGGGGAAUAUUGCACAAUGGGGGAAACCCUGAUGCAGCCAUGCCGCGUGUGUGAAGAAGGCCUUCGGGUUGUAAAGCACUUUCAGUAGGGAGGAAGGUAGUGUAGUUAACACCUGCAUUAUUUGUACGUUACCUACAGAAGAAGCACCGGCUAACUCCGUGCCAGCAGCCGCGGUAAUACGGAGGGUGCGAGCGUUAAUCGGAAUUACUGGGCGUAAAGCGCAUGCAGGCGGCCUGUUAAGUCAGAUGUGAAAGCCCGGGGUCUUAACCUCGGAAUUGCAUUUGAAACUGGCAGGCUAGAGUCUUGUAGAGGGGUUAGAAUUUCAGGUGUAGCGGUGAAAUGCGUAGAGAUCUGAAGGAAUACCAGUGGCGAAGGCGG